GCAUAUCAAUAAGCGGAGGAAAAGAAACCAACAGGGAUUGCUCUAGUAACGGCGAGUGAAGCAGCAAUAGCUCAAAUUUGAAAUCUGGCGUCUUCGACGUCCGAGUUGUAAUUUGUAGAGGAUGCUUCUGAGUAACCACCGACCUAAGUUCCUUGGAACAGGACGUCAUAGAGGGUGAGAAUCCCGUAUGCGGUCGGAAAGGUGCUCUACACGUAGCUCCUUCGACGAGUCGAGUUGUUUGGGAAUGCAGCUCUAAAUGGGAGGUAAAUUUCUUCUAAAGCUAAAUAUUGGCCAGAGACCGAUAGCGCACAAGUAGAGUGAUCGAAAGAUGAAAAGCACUUUGGAAAGAGAGUUAAAAAGCACGUGAAAUUGUUAAAAGGGAAGGGAUUGCAACCAGACUUGCUCGCGGUGUUCCGCCGGUCUUCUGACCGGUCUACUCGCCGCGUUGCAGGCCAGCAUCGUCUGGUGCCGCUGGAUAAGACUUGAGGAAUGUAGCUCCCUCGGGAGUGUUAUAGCCUCUUGUGAUGCAGCGAGCGCCGGGCGAGGUCCGCGCUUCGGCUAGGAUGCUGGCGUAAUGGUCGUAAUCCGCCCGUCUUGAAACACGGACCAAGGAGUCUAACAUCUAUGCGAGUGUUCGGGUGUCAAACCCCUACGCGUAAUGAAAGUGAACGGAGGUGAGAACCGCAAGGUGCAUCAUCGACCGAUCCUGAUGUCUUCGGAUGGAUUUGAGUAAGAGCAUAGCUGUUGGGACCCGAAAGAUGGUGAACUAUGCCUGAAUAGGGUGAAGCCAGAGGAAACUCUGGUGGAGGCUCGCAGCGGUUCUGACGUGCAAAUCGAUCGUCAAAUUUGGGUAUAGGGGCGAAAGACUAAUCGAACCAUCUAGUAGCUGGUUCCUGCCGAAGU
Molecule: ribosomal RNA, 903 nt
Filed under: Hormodendrum chaquense
Lineage: Eukaryota; Fungi; Ascomycota; Dothideomycetes; Cladosporiales; Cladosporiaceae
Description: LSU rRNA
Rfam family: Eukaryotic large subunit ribosomal RNA
Source: RNAcentral